AUGCACUGGGGUGUACUGGGAUGUACUGGGAGUGCACUGGGAUGCACCAGCCCAGCCCCACAGCUCAGGCACUCAGGCACAGAUGUCCCAGCAGAGAGGGUCCUCAGGAUCCAGCCCUGGGCUCAGGGCAGUGAUGGGCUCCUCAAAUCUGGGAAGGGCUCAGAUCCAACCCUGUGUCACUCACCAGCCACUGGGGCAGCUGCAAGGCACCAGGGUCCCACAUCUCCCACGGAGAAUCCUUGCAGGCUCCCAGCUGGGAAUGCACUGGGGUGUACUGGGAUGUACUGGGAGUGCACUGGGAUGCACCAGCCCAGCCCCACAGCUCAGGCACUCAGGCACAGAUGUCCCAGCAGAGAGGGUCCUCAGGAUCCAGCCCUGGGCUCGUUCUCAGGGUGCUCCAAAUCCCAGAUCUGGGAAGGGUUCGGAUCCAACCUCACACUCAGGGCAGUGAUGGGUUUCUCAUUCCUGCUCCAAAUCCCAAAUACAAGAAAGGCUCAGAUCCAGUCCCACAUUCAGGGCUCCUCAUUCCUGCUCCAAAUCCCAAAUCCAGGAAGAGCUCAGAUCCAGCCCCGUGUUCAGGGCAGUGGUGGGUUCCUCAUUCCUGCCCCAAAUCCCAAAUCUGGGAAGGGCUCAGUUCCAGCCCCACAUUCAGGGUGCUCUAAAUCCCAAAUUCAGGAAAGGCUCAGUUCCAGCCCUUCACUCAGGAUUCCUCAUUCCUGCCCCAAAUCCCAAAUCCAGCAACUCCCCAAUUCCCAAGGAAGAUUCCCAGCAAGGAAAGAAAGAUUAUCAAGAAAGAAUAAGAGAUUCCUGAGAAAGAAUGAGAGUCCCAAAAAAGAGACUCCCAAAAAAAAAGAGAUUCCCAAAAAAAAGAGAUUCCCAAAAAAGACUCCCAAAAAAAGACUCCCAAAAAAAAAGACUCAAAAAAAAAAGAUUGCCAAAAAAGAGAGACUCCCCCCAAAAAAAGACUCCCAAAAAAGAGACUCCCAAAAAAACAAAGACUCCCAAAAAAAAGAGAUUCCCCCCCCCCCCCCCCCCCCCCCCCCCCCCCCCCCCCCCCCCCCCCCCCCCCCCCCCCCCCCCCCCCCCCCCCCCCCCCCCCCCCAAAAAAAAAAAAAAAAGACUCCCAAAAAAAAGACUCCAAAAAAAGAUUCCCCAAAAAAAAAGAGAAUCCCAAAAAAGACCCCCCCAAAAAAAUUCCCAAAAAACAGAUUCCCAAAAAAGAGACUCCCAAAAAAAGAUUCCCCAAACAAAGAGACUCCCAAAAAAAAGAGAAUCCCAAAAAAGACCCCCCCAAAAAUUCCCAAAAAACAGAUAUCCCAAAAAAGACCCCUCCAAAAAUUCCCAAAAAACAGAUUCCCAAACAAAGAGACUCCCAAACAAAGAGACUCCCAAACAAAGAGACUCCCAAACAAAGAGACUCCCAAACAAAGAGACUCCCAAAAAACCAGAUUCCCAAAAAAGAGACUCCAAAAAAAAAGACUCACAAAAAAAAAGACUCCAAAAAAAAAGAUUCCCAAAAAAAAAAGACUCCCAAAAAAACAGAUUCCCAAAAAAGAGACUCUCAAAAAAAGAGACUCCCAAGAAAACUCUCAAAAAAAAGAUUCCCGAAAAAGACUCCAAAAAAAAUUCCCAAAAAAGAGACUCCCAAAAAACAGACUCCCCCCCCCCCCCCCCCCCCCCCCCCCCCCCCCCCCCCCCCCCCCCCCCCCCCCCCCCCCCCCCCCCCCCCCCCCCCCCCCCCCCCCCCCCCCCCCCCCCCCUCCCAAACAAAGAGACUCCCAAAAAAAAGAUUCCCAAAAAAGAAACUCCCAAAAAAGAGACUCCCCAAAAAACAGAGAUUCCCAAAAAAAGAGAGAUUCCCAAAAAAAGAGAGAUUGCCAAAAAAAGGAAGAAAGACUCCCAAGAAAGGGAGCCCCCCCCCCCCCCCCCCCCCCCCCCCCCCCCCCCCCCCCCCCCCCCCCCCUCCCAAGAAAGAAAGAUUCCCAAAAAAGAAAGAUUUCAAAAUAAAAAAAGAUUUCCAAACAAGAAAGAUUCCCAAAAAAAGAAGGAAGAUUCCCAAAGCAAAAAGAUUCCCAAGAAAUCCCAUUUUUAUCCUGGUUGCCACGGUGACUGGAAUUCCAUCAGUGCCUCCUGACUCCACACCAAUAAGAAAAUAAAAAAGGAAAAGAAAAUAAAAGGAAAUCAGAUAAAAAGGAAACUGGCAGAACAUCAGCGCUGAAAAUCAGAUUUUUAACCAACUGAAAAAAAGCCUGGAUAUUGAGAAAAAAAAAAAAAAGGAAAAAAUAGGAAAAUACCUCCCAAAAUACCCCCAAAAUUCCAGGAAAAUCUCAAUUUUAUCCACAUGGAAUUGCUGGAUGAGCCUAAGCACAACCACAAUUAAAUAAAUUAAAUAUUGUUUUGCUUAGUUUUAUUAUCAGGGAAAAAUAUGAAAUCAUAUCAUGAUAUCACAUCAAAAGGUGCAGGAAGAAUUAUUCCUGGGAGAAUAAAAUGUGGAAUAUCAAACAUGGAAAACUGGUUUGUGAGGAAGAGAUUUCCAAAUUUCUCUCGUAGAGGAAGAUUAAAA
This 2563-nucleotide long non-coding RNA is filed under the name Ficedula albicollis (Collared flycatcher). RNAcentral's name for it is "lncRNA (ENSFALG00000016455.2)". The record is from RNAcentral. Lineage: Eukaryota; Metazoa; Chordata; Aves; Passeriformes; Muscicapidae.